Molecule: long non-coding RNA, 845 nt
Organism: Pogoniulus pusillus (Red-fronted tinkerbird)
Lineage: Eukaryota; Metazoa; Chordata; Aves; Piciformes; Lybiidae
Exons: 4
Source: RefSeq, a predicted model, not a curated record
AGUGGACUACAGAAAUCCUGGUCAUGGAUAUAUUCAACCUUGAAUGGAGACCUGUGCAAUGGGGAGCAUUUCAUCAACUUGAAAAUCAGAUUCAUGCCCACAGCCAAACAUAGACUACUUUCCUCCUAAAAAUGUUAUUCAGGUACCAACCCUCCUCCAUGCACAGACUUCUUUGUGGAGUUUAUCCUCCAAGAUCAUGGCUGCAGCUGCUUUGCUAAAUUGGUCUCAAGUUAACAAACCCAGCUUCAUUCACAGCGCUACGCUAAUAAUAAAUGCGGAUGCUUCGGAUGCAAGCUGGGACCCCUCAGUUUGAACAGAUCGUAAUUGUUGUGUGUUUUUCAUUAUUGAUCAGUUGCAUUUGUUAUGCUUUGAAGAGUCACUGUUAACUUUUCCAUGCCUGACGUCUCGUUUAAUGUAGCAAAAUGUGGGCUCUAAAUGAGCACUUCCGAUUGUGGCAUCUGUUGUGUUACCCUCUCAGCCAUGCUGUAUGUCCCUCCUGCUGGGAGAACCUGAGCUGACACAGUUGCUGCUGGCAGUGUCACUGUCUGCUUUUCAUCUAGAAAAAUGAGUUCUGUGUCUUAAACACCCUAAAGGAGGCUGAAUUGGAUGGUUUGUGUCAGUCUGCAUUUUACCCAAGCAGCAAAGGUUACUCCUCCUCUAUUCCCUUCAUACUAGUGAGUGUAUUACUUGUAGCAGCAUUUUAGAAAGGCUCUCAUGGGAAAUGGGGGUGAAUGAGAUCAAUGCAAAACAUCAAAACCCUGGGAUCCAGUAUUCCAGAAACACUGAUUUUACUAGGAAAACUGUAUAAACUGACUUACCUGCCAUUUUCAGCAGCACAGACUCUU